RNAcentral lists this long non-coding RNA (342 nucleotides) under Malus domestica (apple). Its description in RNAcentral is "long non-coding RNA (MDOM_LNC019467)". The record is from RNAcentral. Lineage: Eukaryota; Viridiplantae; Streptophyta; Magnoliopsida; Rosales; Rosaceae.
GUGUGAGUUUAUGCUUGAAACAUUGAGGACAAUGUUUGAUUUAAGUGUGAGGGGGGUAACCAUUGUUUUGCAUGAAAUUCGUAGGAGUUUAUCACCAAUUACUUCUAGUGUUGUUCCUUGCUAAGUGUUUUUAAGCUGUUUUGGAGUGUUUUAGUGUGUUUUGACAUAAAAAUCCGAAAAUCUCAUAAAAAUUUAAAAAAUUGUUUUGAAAAAAAAAACCAAAAAGAGUUGUUUUUGUGUGUUUAUUUGUGUCUUAGGGUACCUUUCAACACAAUGAUGAGGAUUUGGUUUUUUAUUACAUGACUGUUAAAGAGAGUUAUAAACAUGGAUGAAAAUUUGAUU